Long non-coding RNA from Triticum dicoccoides, 1838 nucleotides. RefSeq lists it as uncharacterized. The record is from RefSeq and is a predicted model, not a curated record. The transcript has 5 exons. Lineage: Eukaryota; Viridiplantae; Streptophyta; Magnoliopsida; Poales; Poaceae.
UGGAGGGUGUCAAGAGGGGAAGAGGGGAAGGACGCCUUCGCCUUCGCAAGCAGUGCUGGCGGACGAGCACACACGCAUGUCCUCUUCCUAAUGGAAGGCAACUCGAGCAUGGGAGUAGUGGUCAAGGUUGGGCACCAUGGGUUGUCCGAGGUGCUUCAUGGUGAGGAACAGGUGCGCCAUCUUCCAAUCCGUCCACAGUUUGAAGCAGCCAGGCAGGGAGGACCAAGAAAACAUAGAUCUGUGAAAGAAGAGAUGAAGAACAAUUUUAGCUGAAGUGUUGAAGAAGACCAAGGAGGGGGUUUAUAAGGGAAUCAAGAGCUUUUUUUAACAGCAUGUACAAAAGGUUCAGGAAAGUGGGACUCAAGUCUGCAACCACAAUAUAAGUAAGGCCAUGGAGCAAGAGUUCUGUUGGGCAUCCUUUGCAUUUAUCUUGCCAGGUUCCAUGCUUCAUAACAUGUGUGUAAGCAUAUCAAUACACACAUACAUUGCGGUUCGUAACGCCAUUUAAUAGGGGAUGCAUUAGGGUACUUUAUUUCCAUUAUAAACUGAUAAUAAUUAUGAAUUUAGUAAGGUAACAAUAAUAUGGGUUAUAGCAGAAUAUUAGAUGUGGUAUGCUUGUAUGAGUAGAAUGCAGAGUUUAUAAAUGAACUAAAAUCUGAGAACAGGAAGUGGUAGGUUUAAUUUCAGUUAGAAAAUUAGGUGUACUACAGUAUCAUAUAUUCAGGUAAUCCCUUGCAUUUUUUUGCCAUGUUCAGGCUUUAUACAUCGUUUGUAUAUGCAUAAAGUACGCCACAUAAACUGGAGUUUGUAGUGUCAGGAGUAAGAGGGGUGCAACUAAGUAGUAGCAUGUUACAGGAUAAGAACAACUGUUUAGUUUAACUCCAAAGAGGUCAGAUGGAAUGAAUUUUUGAUAUAUCUGAACUCUAGAGUAUAAGAUGCAUCUUUCUACUCUUCCUGAGAUCACGGUUAUCAUAACUGGAUGUUUGUUUGUGGGAAGUUUUAUCUCUUCCCUACAGUCAAAGCUCAUGUGCAAUUUGGAAAAAAAUGCAAACAUGCUAUCGCUGCAUUUGACAAUUCCUUUUAGGUGAAAAAACCUGGCUUUGUUUUGUUCCUUUUUGUUCUCUGUUUAUUACCGUUUAUUGCUCAGAGUGAUUAUUCCCAAAGUAGUCUUUAACAAUUAAUCAUUUGCAGGUAUCUAACCAAUAGCGGCUUACGUUUCCUGAUCAUUUUUCUUUUGGAAAUGGAAGUUGUUGCUUCCUAGGUGAGCUGAGGUGAUAACUCCCUUCCGGCGCUGGGCCUACGUGUUCAAUGCUGCCCUCACCAUCCCCUUCUUCCAUUGGCUCAUCAGCCCGUCAGAGUUCAGAGAUCUAAUACUCCGCACUGCCUCCCGUCCAUUUUCAGAUAUAUAUAUUUAUAUAAGGUUUAUCAUCACCCCAUGGAUCAUGUGUUGUUGAUUGACCAGGUUAUUGAGGUGGAGGUCAACAGGGUGAGGCAGAGAAGUGGAGUGCUCAUAAAGAAACGAAGCUGCUGCCUGGACUCGCCGCUGCCGCCGCCUCCAGUCGCUUCCGCCUAGGCAUCCCGUCGCUAGCAAGCGGGUCUCUGCCAUUUGGUGCAACGGGUCCAUGAGGAAAAGGCGGUCAAUUGCUAGCUUAUUUGAAAAGCGCCAAUAGUGUGUGCCACAUGUAAAUAGUCCAUGUUGAAAGAAUAGAAGCAGAAGUGUGGAGAUAAUGUAAUUGGUCAGUCAGGAAAUUCAGUCUCAAUGAGCUCAACUAAUGACAUGUGUUGGUUGAGCCUGAAGUCAUUUCCAAAGUAAUGGAAGUAUUUUACUUUCCUUUUCA